Molecule: ribosomal RNA, 275 nt
Filed under: Enterococcus faecium
Lineage: Bacteria; Bacillati; Bacillota; Bacilli; Lactobacillales; Enterococcaceae
Description: partial 23S ribosomal RNA
Rfam family: Bacterial large subunit ribosomal RNA
Source: RNAcentral
GCACCGAAGCUGCGGCAGCGACACUAUGUGUUGUUGGGUAGGGGAGCGUUCUGUAAGCCUGCGAAGGUGUGCUGUGAGGCAUGCUGGAGGUAUCAGAAGCAGCCAUCAUUUAAAGAAAGCGUAAUAGCUCACUGGUCGAGUCGGCCUGCGCGGAAGAUGUAACGGGGCUAAACCAUGCACCGAAGCUGCGGCAGCGACACUAUGUGUUGUUGGGUAGGGGAGCGUUCUGUAAGCCUGCGAAGGUGUGCUGUGAGGCAUGCUGGAGGUAUCAGAAG